CAUAGUUUACCCAAUUGAAUGAUGCAAAUUUGAAAAAAGAAGUAAAUUGGAAAAUUAUUUAAAAUUGUAGGUUGUAUCUAAAUAAGGAAAUUAAAAAAAUUGGGUUCAUGUUCCUUGAAGUUUAAGCAGCGUAGGAAAUAGCAGAUAACCUCAUGAGUGAAAAUUCAAUAAAUCUAAAUAUUUUCUGUUGUUGGUUUUUUUUUGUGAACGAUUCAUCUGAUACUAAUUCUUCUACUAUGCACAUGGGAUGGGCAUGAUAUGUUGUGUAGUGCAUGUAUGAAAGUACUGUAAAGAUAUUUUAUGAUUAUUAAACAGACAAAAAUGAACAUAUUUUACAGCUGAAGGUCGAGCUUUCACCUACAGUCACUGAUCACCCUAAGACAUCUCCCGAAAAGAAGACCAACACUUAUAAAGAGUCUCCUAUUCCUAAAAUAGAUGAAAGACGACAUCAAUUUCUACUUGCAACACACUGUCCGGCUUCAGUAAAUUUACCUGCGCUGUUAGCAAAGGCAGAGAAAGAAGCAAAGACAUCUGCUAAAGCAACACCAACCUCUGUUAAAGCAAAAGAGGACACCAGCCCUGCUAAAUCUAUUGUAACCAAAUCCCAGGAAGAAUAUAUUAUGAGCAUGAAUGAUUGCCAUCCGCAAAGUUGAGUUAAGGAUGCAAGAGAGUUUCCUGCUUAAUCUUAACUUGAACUCAACUAAUCGGAUACCCAAGGACUGACUCCCACAAUGCUAAGGAAAAGAGGCAGAAGACUAUCCCAAGCAGUGACAACUAUUCUUCUACUAAUGUUCCUGCUCCCCUUGAUAAGACAAUAGAUAAAAAAAAUAGAACAACCCAAGGUUUCUUCCAAACAGAAUCUCACUAACACUCAUAACAUCAUGAUGGGAAAUGAUUGUCACAACAAUCUGAGGACCACUGAG
Molecule: long non-coding RNA, 923 nt
Organism: Bombina bombina (fire-bellied toad)
Lineage: Eukaryota; Metazoa; Chordata; Amphibia; Anura; Bombinatoridae
Exons: 4
Source: RefSeq, a predicted model, not a curated record